This 5833-nucleotide long non-coding RNA is filed under the name Mytilus galloprovincialis (Mediterranean mussel). The record is from RNAcentral. Lineage: Eukaryota; Metazoa; Mollusca; Bivalvia; Mytilida; Mytilidae.
AUCUUUUAUGACAUUCUACACAAAAUUUGAUGACGUAUACACAGCACAGUGUCUAUUCGUCGAAAAAUUUAGCAGGUAGAUUUUAAUUUACCCUGUUCCUUUAUAUACUGUUUGUCCCUAACCUCUUUGACAGAAUGUCCUGCAUGCUUAUCCUUUCAUACCUUAUUAACAUUGGAAUCGGAAAUUAAUCACAAACAGUAUAGUGUUCGGGUAUCGGGUCCGUUCGUCCUGAUAGUGAAAACAUGUUCGCCCUGGAUCCGUUCGCAGUGUGUUCGUUCUCCCUUGGCACUUGUUUCUAUCCAUGGGAACGUAUAACAUUGAUAGUGGCUCUUCCCAUGGACAGAAACAAGUGCCUGUGUUCGUGUUACUGCACCGUUCUCUGAGGCAGAGUGAAGUAAAAUUAUGCCUAUUAUCAGGCUUCAAAUUAGUCCAAAUAAUUAUGACGUCUUGAAAGGCUAUUAUAAUUUUUUUCUUUGACGCCUUACUUCGACGUCAUAAUGCUGAAGCCGCCAUUUUCGGUUGGACUUUGAGAGCAUAUUUUGCUCUCAACUUUGAGACCCAAUUUAGCCAUCAAAUUUUCAAUGAAAGCUAAAACAAAAUGCAUAUAUAAAAAUUCUUACCUUUUAUGUGUUUGUUUGUGCAAAAUAUUUCCAAUUAAUCCCUACAGAAAUAAUAAUAUAAGUAACAAUUCCAUCCGAGGCGGGAACAUGUCGACUGCAUUUUUUAAAACGUUUGUCUGAUUUCUUUUUAGGAGAUUAUAAAUUAAUUUUUACACCAAACUUGGUAAAACCCGAAUUUCCGGAACCAUUGUUUUACAUUAUCCGGAAAUUCAGGUUGGUCAAAAUGUACCGAGUUUGGUUCAAAAAUAUAUUUUAUACACCUAAAAUGAAGCAUCUUGAGGAGAAAUCAGCUAAAACGUUUUUAUAAAGCAGUAAUUCCUCUCAAAGUCCAAUUGAAUAUAGUUGGCGUUAUGACGUCGAAGUACAUUGUAAGGCGUCAAAGAAAAAAAUUAUAAUAGCCUUUCAAGACGUCAUAAUUAUUUGGACUAGCUUCAAAUGGUCAUUUUGGCUACAUUUAGCGAAAAUUAGUUUUACUGUGAAUCAUGAAAAUAUACUUAUCGUGAUUUGUCGGAGGUCUCAAAUAAUUAUCAUUACCAUCAUUUUUGACAAAAGCUUAAAGUGAUUUGUCAUAAUCAGUCAAUGUUUUUUAUUGUCUAAAAGAAAUUAUAUUUUAUUGUCGUACAUCAAACAUCACUGAACAUAAUUUUAAUUGGUAUCUGGAUGAUUCAUUCCAACUCUGAUUCGUACCAACAAAUUCGUCCCAAGUUGCAUGGUCAGUUCGUUCCAACUUUUCCAAAAACUGGUCAUUUCGUUCCAACUUAUUCAAGAACAGUAUUAAACAAUAUUAACCAUUUAAAUAGCCUCAUUAUUUUGAUUUUUUAUGCUGUACUGAUAAAAAACGGUUUAUUAAUUGGGAAGAACGAUACAUUGGGCAUGAUAAAUAUUGAUAAUUAUUAAUUAUUGAGGUAAGUACAAAUAUAUUUCAUGACAAUUUAAGAUUUUAAAUAAAUGAAUAAAAUGACUAACUAGUGAUAUUUUCAAAGAAAUAGUUAUCAUUAUAAUUGAUUAUUGUAUUUCGAUGAUGUGCGCAUAACAGUUGUUAAUGCAUUCAUCAAAAGAAUAAUAUCGUACUUAUCUUGGGUCAUAAAUGCUUGUCAAUAAUAAUUGAAGGCUGACAUACCACAUUUGACUUACGUGCAUCGUUUCUACUCAUUAGCACUGCCCGGUUGUGUAUUUUUUACAAUAUAAAAAUUUACUCAGUGUCCUUGUAUGAAGCCAAAAAAAAAAGUAAUCAGCCACAAGCAGAUCACAGUCCAAGAUGCUGGAGCUUUGGGACAGCUAUAGAAACCAGCAAAUUACAGUUACCCAGCUGAUGACAUCUGUUGCACUUAUCAUUGUGCCAUCCGUUGACCAGCAAAAUGAAAUAUGUGACAUACUGAAAGACUAUUGAACAAUUAUCCAUGAACUGUUAAGAUGAACAUAUGUUAUUAAAAAAUGAUCUUUUAUAUGAAAUACAGUCUGCACCAAAAACUUUUUCAACUACUAGUCCGAAGACCAAUAUUCCAAAAUUUUUCUUAUUGGUCCAAACAAAGUUUUGCAAUAACUUACUAGCCCCAAUGAAAUUUUACUAGUCUAGGGCAUCGGACUAGUGGCCAAUCGUGCAGACUGGAAAUAUACAGAAAAAAUUGACAAGGAAUUGCCGAUUUUUGCCGUGCACUGUAGGUUCAUUUACACAAAUACAGUGAUAUGCACAUAAUAUUAAUAAUGAACUUAAUCAGUUGGAACACAUUGUUAAGUCGGAUUAAUAAUGAAAUAAAUCAGUUGGAACGAAUUGACAAUUGACUUGGUACGAAUUGUCCAAAUCUGGAACGAACUGGCUUGGAACGAAUCGGACAUGGAACGAAUUGACUAGAAUUCUUUUAAUUUAGCAUUAACAUCAUUUGGCAAGUAUUUUUAAAAAUUAUCAGCAAGACAAGAUCUACUAUUGAGACAUCUUUUUGAUAUUGUCAGAAGACUCCUUAUUGAAUUUUUUGUCAUUUAAUGAUGAUUUUUACUCAUUUUUGCCUAAUAUUAAGUUAAAAAUGAUAAUAGAAAGAUGGAAAUUUUAUUUAUAAAGCAAACUUGAUGAGAAAAACAAGAUCUACAAUCAUACUAUUAAACGCUUCUCUUCCUUCCACGAUUAAUUAAUCACCAUGCUUCUGUGUUCUAUAGGUAACAUGCAUAGUCGCAUUUGUCAUCCAUUCUUAUGAUUAUUCAGAUUGAGUUAUUUUUGCAGAAAAACGACAAAAAAGGAGUCUGGAUAUUGAUUCCGUCAUCAGACUGACUUUUCGUCAGAUAAGACUUCCGGUUGAAAACAACCAAUUGUAUGAUAGAUAACAAAAAUCGAAUAAUAAAUAAGCCAAUCAGAGCGUUCUCCAUAUCAUGGUGUUUAGAUCGCAAGAAACACAACUAUUAUACCUCCUUAGAGAGGACAAUUAUUUUACGCGUUUUAUCUACAUGUAAACUACGAUUAUGCUACUUUAAUAUAUAGAUCCUCUCUGUAUUCUGUCUACUAUUUUCUUUGCAUGUUUAUACUAUUUAAGGGGUCAUACCAGUUGCAUAUAUAUAAAAAUAAAUAAAACAUGUGGAAACAAGAAUGUGUCCAUAUAUAUGUACACAGAUGCCACCUCAGCACUAUAUUUACUAAGUUUCCAGUUGAUUGGACUUCAACUUCAUCAAAAGCUACCUUGACCAAAAACUUUAACCUGAAGCGGGACAGACAGACGGACAUCACGAACAAACGAACGAACGCACGGAUAUACAGACUAGAAAACAUAAUGCACAUAAAUUGGGCAUACAAAUUUAUUGUUGAAAGUGAAAGUAGUGAUUUGGCAAAAAUGAAAGUAGGGUAGAGACUAGAGGUAGGCAGGACCUUUUUCGGGACUUCGAGAUAGGGUGUUUUUAAGCUCGGGAUUUGGGGAUUGAUCAAUACGGGAUCCGGGAAUAUAUUUUUCCAUUUCGGUAUUUCGGGAUAUGAAUUUGUUUACAUUCUGCAUCUCGAGAUUUCAUGUUUUUAAGACCGGGAUUUCGGGAUCAGGACUUCUGACCCCCCUCUCAAAUUAGCCUUAGUCGGACUUAGUCAUUUAUACAAGGUUCAUAUCCUACCAUUGGCAUGUUAAUAAGGCUCUCAAAAGAAAAAGCACUGAUGGAUCCUAUUGUCCUAGAAGCAUAUUUUAUUAGACUAAUAAUGGUCUAUAAAUAAGAUGUUACAUUUAUUUCAUGUUUGAAGCGGUGCAAAUUUUUAAUUUAAUUUGACUUUUACCAAAAGAUGCAUUGUAGCAAAGGAGAAGAAUAUUUGUGGUCUGAGGCCAGUAACACGAAAAUAGUUGAAUUUAACAAAAAGGGAACAAAUUUCAAACUUUGGAAAAAGGGAGAGGGCUUUUGAUACCUUUUAUGAAAUUCUCCAUACAUAAUUAUCUUUUACAAACAUCAUCCUACAACAGUUCACAAGCUGUAUAUGCCCGCGAUUUCGCGGGUGUGUUCUAGUAAGGUUUAUAACAAGGAAAUCAUCUGGCGACUCUUUAACGCUGUAAUUGCCCAUUAAUAACAAUUUUACAAUUUUUGUUGAGUUUUUCCUUAAGGUGGCUAGGGAGUCUUAACUAAAAUUGACAGAAUUUUUUGAUAACUUGUCAAAAUGAAGUUUUUAUCAUGCUUUUUUCAAAAAUAUAUUGAAAAGUAUGGGUCACCGGACUUUUUUUCACGCUGCAGGUUGCGCAAAAGUGUCCGAUUUUAUAUAGAUUAUGCAUGGAAAAUCAAAUUUUGUGUGAUAAAAAAGAAAGGUGCUAUCAGAACUUUAAGAUAAAAUGUGAGAAGAUUGCUCUUAUAACAUGCUUUUUGAUAAGAAAAAGAAGAAAAUGGGUCACCGAACUUGUUUUCUUGCUACAUAUCAAAUAGGUAAAUUCAUAACACUUUCUAUUUUAAAAAUUACUUUAUCUGAGUUAUCUCCCCUUAUUUGGUAAAGUUGAAAAAAUCUAAUCAAACACAAACAAGUGUUUUUUGAGAAAUUACAGCUGUAAUUAUGAUGAAUCACACAAUUUUCUAUAUUUAUUUUAAAAGUCUUUUACAUAAAUUACCUACAACUCUCAAAAUUUGCACAUUUCAUCAAAUAUCUAGACCAAAAGUAUCUGCUUCUUCAAAAUCAAGAUGGAGGAAGACUUAAAGGGCACUAGCUAUGAGAUAGAUAAAAAAUCUAAUGUAUUAUUUCUUAUGCUCAAUCAUUAAUGAAAUGCAACUUGUGAAAUAAUAAUUUACUUUAGCAGCCUGUAUGGUUCAAUUUUGUCAAAAUAAGCUAAAAGCAUUUAUUAUGAAUUAUUCACUUGCAAGUAAUAGUUCGACCUCAUUGAAUCCGCCGUAAUCAUGUGAACUUCAAUUUGACCCCUUAGAUUGAGAUGGAUAACUGUAUGUGUAAAGUUAUUUAAAGGAAAAGAAUUUCAACAUUGAAAGUGAAACAAAAGUAAAUCAUUUGAUUGACUGAUUCGAUCCACAAAGAACAUUCUUAUACAGGUAAAAACGAUGAUAAACAUUUAUUUUUCAUUUAUAAUAUAAAAUUAAAUAGAUCUAGAAUAAUCCAACAGCAUGAGUUUGCUUAAUUUAUUUAUAUCUAUAUUUAUGUUUACAUUGCUUAUAUGGUCAUCGAAUGACUUUAGGGGUCAACUCGAUAAUUAAUUAGAUGGCGUCUAGACUAAAAUACACACGAAAUGAAGCUACGUAUUUUCAUUUGACAGCUAGUGCCCCUUUAAUGUCGAAAUGGUAAGUGAACUCCUACUUAGAGUUUUGUGCUUUAAUGACGAUAUUUAUCAAUUUAUUUUUACACAUUUUGUAUUGCAGCGGUAUAAUUUCUUAAAAUAUUCUAACUAUUUAGUUCUAAUCUGUCAGUGAGCUCAUUAACAUUACAAAAGUUUAAAUUGUGUAGCUGAACAGCUACAUUUUUUGUAAAUUCUACAUUAUUGAUCAUGACACACACAUUUGAAUAAUAUAUUACAUGUAAUUGCUUAAACACAAAACUUUCAUUUCAGUAAAGUAGAUAAUGGCUGAUGAUAAUGUUGAAGAAUUUUUAGAAGAUGAAUCUUUAUCAGAAAAAGAAUUCCACCUCCAGAAUCCUGAUGUAGUUAUAAGGGGGACAACUCUUAGACACUCUGCUACAACAGAUACUUUAGAUUCUGUAUAUCUAGAACCAACAGCAGUUGAGGAAGACGUUCAAGAUAUUAUUACGGCCAUACCAGAUUUAGUUAAAG